This 253-nucleotide ribosomal RNA is filed under the name uncultured bacterium. RNAcentral describes it as "partial 16S ribosomal RNA". It matches the Rfam family "Bacterial small subunit ribosomal RNA", at positions 524 to 776 of the family's 1533-position model. The record is from RNAcentral.
UACGGAGGAUGCAAGCGUUAUCCGGAAUGAUUGGGCGUAAAGCGUCUGUAGGUGGCUUUUCAAGUCCGCCGUCAAAUCCCAGGGCUCAACCCUGGACAGGCGGUGGAAACUACCAAGCUGGAGUACGGUAGGGGCAGAGGGAAUUUCCGGUGGAGCGGUGAAAUGCUUAGAGAUCAUACAGAACACCGAUUGCGAAGGCAGCUUACCAAACUAUAUCUGACGUUGAGGCACGAAAGCGUGGGUAGCAAACAGG